Molecule: ribosomal RNA, 481 nt
Filed under: uncultured bacterium
Lineage: Bacteria
Description: bacterial SSU rRNA
Rfam family: Bacterial small subunit ribosomal RNA
Source: RNAcentral
GAUGAACGCUAGCGGCAGGCCUAACACAUGCAAGUCGAGGGGUAACAGGGUAGCAAUAUCGCUGACGACCGGCGCACGGGUGAGUAACGCGUAUGUAACCUUCCUUUAACUGGGGCAUAGCCCGGAGAAAUUCGGAUUAAUACCCCAUAACAUUGCGAAGAGGCAUCUUUUGCAAUUAAAGCUCCGGCGGUUAAAGAUGGGCAUGCGUGCCAUUAGCUAGUUGGUGAGGUAACGGCUCACCAAGGCUACGAUGGUUAGGGGGUCUGAGAGGAUGAUCCCCCACACUGGUACUGAGACACGGACCAGACUCCUACGGGAGGCAGCAGUGAGGAAUAUUGGGCAAUGGGCGCAAGCCUGACCCAGCCAUGCCGCGUGAAGGAUGAAUGCCCUAUGGGUUGUAAACUUCUUUUGUACGGGACGAAUCUCUCGAACGUGUUCGGGACUGACUGUACCGUGCGAAUAAGCAUCGGCUAACUCCGUG